CACGCUUUCACCAUCACCAUUGCUCCAUCACUGAACUAGAUAUGAAAGCCAUGUCAUGCAGACAAAACUUAAGAAGGUUCACCAAGAUGCCAAACUGUGGCUGGCUACAGCUUCAGCACAUCUCGUAACAAUGCAGGCCAUGACAUGCCAGUGUGAUGGAGCGUGGUAUGCACAGUUCAGGAAAGAUGUGACAGAUUAACACUGCUGAUAACGGUUGCCACUCCGGAUAUUCUACUAAAAUCCCCUUCUUCCAAGUGGCUUAACUCUUGAGACACUGUUACUGUGGUGUGCUGACUGGGAUCUGCAACCUGUCCCCUGUGUCCACAUGGGGUAUGAAGAAUGCCGAGCAGUGCCCGCUGUGGUAUGUUCCCCUUCUGCACAAGUACCCAGCUGCAUUCAUGCCCUCGGCCAGCAGCCCUUCAAGGUUAGCCUGUGCAGGGUUCAGCAGAGGGUUUAGCUGCUUGCCCUGGUCCCAGCCUUCAAAUGGGAACUUACCUUAAUGUAAGUAGCGUGCUCUGAAAUUACACCCUCGCUUACCUUGCGGUAACUUGCUCGUGUAGUCAUGGCCUUAAGGUUUUUCUUUCGUAUCCAUGGCCACAACAUCUAAGCACUUUAUGGUACAGCAUACACUAAACAUUAAUUUCAAAUUAUUGAGACUAUUUUCAUGACUCAACAACUUUCUAAUGACUGUGUACCUUAUUAAACUCUUGCAGCCCUUUAAUAAGAAGUUUUCCCUCAUCCCUUGGCAUUUAAGCACUGUAUAACUGAAAUGAAAUGCAUAGCUGAAGUAUUUUUUUUUUAGGACAUUUGAUUUACAGUGAGCCCAAAGCAGCAAAGGACUCUUUGAAAAUCUCUAGAGUGGACACUCCCAGAGCUGUCUGUAUACACUUAGAAUUAAUUAUUCCCUUCAUGGAAAUUGUACAAGAUGUCCCCUAGGUUCUUUCUGACUGCCUUCCUGCCCUUUUCUGAUAAUCCCUCACUAUCCUCUGGGCUCUCUCUGGUCCUAAACUUAACAUAUAAAGCUAUUUUUAUCUAGGGGUUAGGGUGUGAAUAAAUUCAGAGAAUGUCUCUCA
This 1073-nucleotide long non-coding RNA is filed under the name Phasianus colchicus (ring-necked pheasant). Its description in RNAcentral is "lncRNA (ENSPCLG00000012332.1)". The record is from RNAcentral. Lineage: Eukaryota; Metazoa; Chordata; Aves; Galliformes; Phasianidae.